RNAcentral lists this transfer RNA (58 nucleotides) under Salvia nervosa. RNAcentral describes it as "partial tRNA-Leu". The record is from RNAcentral. Lineage: Eukaryota; Viridiplantae; Streptophyta; Magnoliopsida; Lamiales; Lamiaceae.
AAAAUCCGUCGACUUUAAAAAUCGUGAGGGUUCAAGUCCCCAAGUCCCUCUAUCCCCA